This 1111-nucleotide long non-coding RNA is filed under the name Gossypium barbadense (sea-island cotton). RNAcentral describes it as "long non-coding RNA (GBAR_LNC016891)". The record is from RNAcentral. Lineage: Eukaryota; Viridiplantae; Streptophyta; Magnoliopsida; Malvales; Malvaceae.
UUUUUCAACCUUGAUUCUACAAUCUUGAUUUUGUAGCCAUGGUUCCAUAGUGGUGAUUCUGCAGCCCAAAUUCUGUAAGCCUAGUUAUGUAGUCCUCAUUCAAGUUCAAGUUUAAACCCCCACUCUUGUCUUUUCAGUUACAUAUCUGCCAUUUUUGUUUUUGAGUUUUACUUAUCAAAUGUUAUUUUAGGGUUUUACUUCUCUUAUGUUGUUUGCGGUUUCAUUUUUGUUCUUUGGUGCAACUCCCAUGUUGUUUACGAGUUUCAUUUCUAUGGAGUUUCGGCUCUCUUUCAUGUUGUUUUUUAAUACAACUCCUAUAUUAUUGUGGGUUUCAUUUAUUUAGAGCUCCAAUUCUCUUUUUUGUUGUUUCUGGAUGCAACUCAGCGACCUAUGUAGCUCUACUCUAUAAUUCUCACAUUGUAGCCUUUGUGGCUUCCUGUAGAUGCAUUAUGUAGCUUCUUAUAGCUUCUUGCGGCUAUGGUUUUAAUUUACCAUGAUUAUUUUUGGGUGUGCAUAUGGUAUGUUAGUUUUUUGUUUUUUUGUUUUUUUUUCAAAUCUCACCCUGUAACCUAUGCUUCUUACAGCUUGUUGCAGCUUCGUCGACUGAACUGUGGCUUUUCACCAUUUCAUUUUUAGGUGCAUAUAUGUUAGUUGUUUUCAGCUUCCUGCGGCCUAAGCUUCUUGUCCUUUCAACUUCUUGUAAGCUCCUUUCAACUCCGGUUCAACCUUUGCUUUUCUUUCUUUUUGGCUCCACAUAUGUUAUGAAGGUUUUUUAGCAACCUCUUUAAUGCACUCACAAAGGUCUUACCAAAGUCAAGAUAAACUUUCUUUUUUAAGAAGAUCGGUUACAAAGACAAGGUCCAAGCAAAUUCAAGCCAAGUAAAUUUAUAUAUGUAGUAUCAUGUGUCCAUGGGUUUACAAAGCUGCCAAGAAGAAUUGAAGCUUGCUUGGAGGACUUCACUACUAGUGGAAGACCCAAAAUCUUGAAGAAUGUCGUUUUAGGAGUUUAUAAAAAGAAUCCCUACCUUAGAAUUUUUGGCCAGUUUAGGUCAAUUAUUUAAGAAAAAUUAGCAACAACUUAUCUUGAAAGACAUCUUUUGUACAAUUCGAC